UCACACCCCUCUAGAUUUAAAGGACUAUUGCAAAGACCAUUUCACUACUGUUAGUGUUUGCAGUUCAGUCAUUGCUUCGAGGAAAAACCUGUUGAUACGUCAGGUUAUGCUAAAUAAGCAAGAGUUCUGUAUUGGCCUGAAGCUGUUUGCAAUCCACCAUUUGCAUGCCACUUUCAAGCAGGGACAUUAUUGCUACCUUUUAAAUCCAAAAAAGGGAACUGAUAUAUUUGCAAACACACAGAUACUCAGGAUGUGGCUGCUGUUUCCUAUCACAAACACGUGAUCUGAGUUGGUUGUUGUUUUUCCACACUGCAAAAGAAAGAAAUCCAGCAAGCUUAGGUGAAAUUGUUGGGUCACUGAAAGGUACAAUGAUCUUCCUGACAAGCUGGAUUCCUGUCCUAACUACGUUUCUGCUUCUCUUAUAUUUCUGGAGAGCAAAGGUCUCUGCCUCUGGAACAUCUGAGGAGGAGGCAAUAGACCCCAAGUAUGUUAUCAUAGGAGUUACCCUGGGAGUCUUCCUAGCAAUUGGUUUUUUAGCACUAAAGAUCUGCAUGAUCAAAAGGCAAUUGACUGACAAUGACUUUGUAGAUUCAGACAACAGAGUGGAUAAAAGGUAA
Molecule: long non-coding RNA, 617 nt
Filed under: Chrysemys picta bellii (western painted turtle)
Lineage: Eukaryota; Metazoa; Chordata; Testudines; Emydidae
Description: lncRNA (ENSCPBG00000012799.1)
Source: RNAcentral